AUGGAGGUAGUUUGUUGGAAUGUGAGGGGGCUCAAUAGCCCACCCAAGAAAAAGGCGCUUAGGGAGUUCAUGGACACGGUGCGUGUCGCAAUUGUGUGUAUCUUGGAGUCCAAACUAGAUAGGGUUGACAAAUUUGUUAUUAUGCAAUGCCUAGGGCCUUCUUACGAUGGCUUUGCUUACCUUCCGGCGUCAGACACGAGAGGUGGCAUCAUCAUUGGCUGGGACUCU
RNAcentral lists this ribosomal RNA (228 nucleotides) under Triticum aestivum (bread wheat). RNAcentral's name for it is "partial small subunit ribosomal RNA". Lineage: Eukaryota; Viridiplantae; Streptophyta; Magnoliopsida; Poales; Poaceae. The record is from RNAcentral.